CCUUCAUCAAUAAAGUGCUGAGGCGAGGAUUUUAUUAUGGUUUCAUAAUUUGUUUACAUAUUUUUACAGUGAUAUGUACAUUGAAUUAAAUUAAGCUGUUCUUUAGCUGGCCUUGGGGCACCUAGUACACAAAGUAAAGUUUCUACCUCUUAAUAAUGAGAUUAAAAUGUCUGGUUGUUAUCGGUUAUGAUAUAGGAUUAAGCUUUUCAUGUGUUCAGUAUAAGCAAGCGAUUAAUUUUUUCAUUAUUUAGUGUUCUACUAGCCAGUUGUGUCAGUUCUUCUUGUGAUUCCUUCACCUUUCCUCAUGCUAGCUAUAUCAUAUAAACAUCCCACUGGAUAUUGAACACUUGAUUAGAAGAGAAAAACAACUUCUUGUACCACCAGUGUCUAAUAUUGGAAGGGAAUGGCUAGUUGCAAACACAGCUCAAAAUCGAAAGAUAUUUACAACAUAUCUUAAAUCUGCUCCCGUUCAUAUCUUUGGAUUCUAUUAAGGCUGUAUCAACUUGCAAGCUAGCUGUAAAAAUGCGAUUUGGUAAUAAGAAAGAGUUCUUCCUUGUAAUCAUGAUAUUAGUAAUCAUCUAGUCUUUCAAUCUUCUUUAAUCAUAUUGCUUUGGUUGAUAACACCUUUUUAUUCUUUUUUUUGGGGUCUCUGUGUGUGUGGAAAGAAACUUAAAAUUUAAUAAAGCUAAGAAUCCAAUUCCCCCAUUUGCUUUCAUAGUAUAAGUAGUGGCCAUGAAAGUACUUUUUAUAAAAAUGGUUUGCACUUAAUGUGCCACAAUCAUUGAUGAUAAAUAUUUCUUCGAACAGCAGUAUCACUAAAUUAAUUUAGACCUUGAUGCGUCUACAUUAAUUCAUCACCUAUAGUUUAGUUUUGCAUUAGGCCAGUGCGGUUUCCCUCAAAUCAAACAUAUGUACGCGGGGUCCUGUUGAAGUCAUUUUCCAUCAAUAUUCAUGGUUUCCAUAAUCUUUUUUAGGGCUCAUUUUUUUUUUUAAUUUCCAUUUUUGAUACACCAUCAUAUUCCUUUUCCCAAAAUGACAACCCUUCAUGCUUUCAUCUGCCUUUCGCUUUUGUUUGAGAUCCUAAUGUGUGAAGAACUUAGAACCCAAAUUAAACCUAAUCAAUUAGAUGGCUAAUUUGGUUCCUCUAAAUUACUCUCAUGGUUUAAAUUUUAAAGGGGUCCCUAAUGUCACUCCAAAGAGAAGAUAUAAAGGGGGAAAAAAAAAGGAAUACAAAGUUGUUGGCUGGGGAAUAUUUGCCUUGAUGUUAUAUAUUAUUGAUAAUAUUGUUUAAAGCAGAUAAAAUCUAGUGCUGAAUAAGUUGUAUAGAUUAGCACAUCAAACAUUCGGUGAAUUAUUAAAAUGAAAAUGAUGGAUAUCUAGUGAGUUCCCACACAAUUUGUUCUCCAUAUCUCAAACACCCCACUAGCUUCACAAAAUAAAGAAAAAAUAGGAGACCAGUGGGCACAUCUAGUGAUGCAGCAACAGCAGAAUUUGAAGAUCGCACUCAAUAUUUUCUGAAGAAAAUAAAAUUGCAUGCUCUUGCUCUAGUUCCUUACCCGGCCAGCAACCUGGACUUUUCCAUGUCUCCAGGCUAAUCAAUUUUAUCACUCACCGUUUUGAAGAAGAAAUUUGAAGCUACUGGCUGUACUGGUCUACAAUAAUCAGCUAAUGGCUUUGGAAAGCCAGUCAAGCAAGGCAAAAAUUUCCCCCUUAAAUAUAUUGAUAUUUAAGAUCAAAAGUCAAAACCCUGCUUAGAUGGUUGAUAGCUCGAAUAUGACGCAGUCUAAAUGUUCAGACGUGGAAUAAAUAAUCUGCUUUGAAAAAUAUUCUUAACAACAGAAACGGAGGCUAGAACUAAAGUGGUGUAUUAAUUUAUCAGUUAUCAGCUAACUGAUUAGUGGUUACGGCACAAGUUGGGCGGACCAAUAAGUGUAUGUAUAGUUGAAGAAUUGGAAGAGUGUGCUAGAUUUAGCGUUUAAGUCUUAAGAUAACUUUUGACCCUUUAGACACUCAAGAGAGGUGGUUUAUAUCGGUUUAAGAGAGUUAAAAACUAAUUCUCUGUUUCUACCUCUUAAUAAUGAGAUUAAAAUGUCUGGUUGUUAUCGGUUAUGAUAUAGGAUUAAGCUUUUCAUGUGUUCAGUAUAAGCAAGCGAUUAAUUUUUUCAUUAUUUAGUGUUCUACUAGCCAGUUGUGUCAGUUCUUCUUGUGAUUCCUUCACCUUUCCUCAUGCUAGCUAUAUCAUAUAAACAUCCCACUGGAUAUUGAACACUUGAUUAGAAGAGAAAAACAACUUCUUGUACCACCAGUGUCUAAUAUUGGAAGGGAAUGGCUAGUUGCAAACACAGCUCAAAAUCGAAAGAUAUUUACAACAUAUCUUAAAUCUGCUCCCGUUCAUAUCUUUGGAUUCUAUUAAGGCUGUAUCAACUUGCAAGCUAGCUGUAAAAAUGCGAUUUGGUAAUAAGAAAGAGUUCUUCCUUGUAAUCAUGAUAUUAGUAAUCAUCUAGUCUUUCAAUCUUCUUUAAUCAUAUUGCUUUGGUUGAUAACACCUUUUUAUUCUUUUUUUUGGGGUCUCUGUGUGUGUGGAAAGAAACUUAAAAUUUAAUAAAGCUAAGAAUCC
RNAcentral lists this long non-coding RNA (2617 nucleotides) under Citrus sinensis (sweet orange). RNAcentral describes it as "long non-coding RNA (CSIN_LNC003778)". The record is from RNAcentral. Lineage: Eukaryota; Viridiplantae; Streptophyta; Magnoliopsida; Sapindales; Rutaceae.